GUCAAAGUAGUGUCAAAGUGCUUACAGUGCAGGUAGUUUGAUGACAUCUACUGCAGUGAAGGCACUUUCAGCGCUAUUCUGA
Takifugu rubripes (torafugu) is the source of this 82-nucleotide microRNA precursor. Ensembl annotates it as microRNA mir-17-2. Its record names the gene mir17-2. The record is from Ensembl. NCBI's taxonomy places the organism in Eukaryota, Metazoa, Chordata, Actinopteri, Tetraodontiformes, Tetraodontidae.